CGGGAUGUAGCGCAGCCUGGUAGCGCACCUGCUUCGGGAGCAGGGAGUCGCUGGUUCGAAUCCAGUCAUCCCGACCA
RNAcentral lists this transfer RNA (77 nucleotides) under Geobacter sp. Its description in RNAcentral is "tRNA-Pro". It matches the Rfam family "tRNA". Rfam says of the family: Transfer RNA (tRNA) molecules are approximately 80 nucleotides in length. Their secondary structure includes four short double-helical elements and three loops (D, anti-codon, and T loops). Lineage: Bacteria; Pseudomonadati; Thermodesulfobacteriota; Desulfuromonadia; Geobacterales; Geobacteraceae. The record is from RNAcentral.